This 689-nucleotide long non-coding RNA is filed under the name Felis catus (domestic cat). RNAcentral's name for it is "lncRNA (ENSFCAG00000042193.2)". The record is from RNAcentral. Lineage: Eukaryota; Metazoa; Chordata; Mammalia; Carnivora; Felidae.
AUGGUUUCUGCUACUCUGAGAUGGCCUUAUCCUUAUUUAACUCACGAUUCUAUUUCUAGGGAAACAUCUACUACCUUGAUCUCUCGUCUGCAAAAGAAUGACACUACAGUGAUCUUCAAUGUUUUGGUAAAGAGAGGGUCCUCUGAAUCCUUUCAAGGCUCACAGCUAAUGUGUGGGAGGGAAGAGGAGUGCGCCAUGGACUCUGAAAUGACAAAGGAGAUAAUCUUUCAUUUCCAUCUGAAAUGUCAAGGGAGGAGGUUGGAGUGUUUGGGCCUGAAAAUACAUAACAAGAAAUAAAAGCUGCUACUCUUGGUUGACUGGAAAGAUGAAAGCCAACAUUAAAAAGGUGGACUUUUUUUUGCUUGUCUUCAAACAAACCUUUAUUGACUUGAAAGAGAGGAGGCAGAUAGGUUCAAAGUGGAAAACAAGAAAUGAUCCAGAAUGGUUUUUCCAGGCUGCAAUUGCCACAGCAUUUUCUGUUCGGGGCAAAUAUUGUAAUAUUGAAUCAUGAGUUUGUCAUUGAUCCUUAAUGAAUGAUAAGCACAGACUCACUGAUUUGAGGAGCAUUUAAUUAAUGUAACUUGUAGGAAAUCAGAGGGAAUAUUUAUUAAAGACGUAUAAGGAGCUAUCUCACAUGGGUUUGUUUUGACUGUUGAACGUAAGUAAAUAAAUCAUAGUGAGAUUUCUCA